CCGCCCGUCACACCAUGGGAGUUGGUUUCACCCGAAGGCAUUGCGCUAACCUCGCAAGAGGAGGCAGGCGACCACGGUGGGAUCAGCGACUGGGGUG
Molecule: ribosomal RNA, 97 nt
Filed under: uncultured bacterium
Lineage: Bacteria
Description: partial 16S ribosomal RNA
Source: RNAcentral